Non-coding RNA from Xyrichtys novacula (pearly razorfish), 281 nucleotides. The record is from the annotation of a GenBank genome assembly. NCBI's taxonomy places the organism in Eukaryota, Metazoa, Chordata, Actinopteri, Labriformes, Labridae.
CUGGCUGACACGCCGAUGGCUUACCGUAAGCUUUGUUCAAAAAAGGUAGUUUCGACUGGGAUGCACGAUAAUCCAUAUUUAUUUUGCAAACAGCGAAUACAUAAUCUUUCUUCAAUUCAUACAGGAUAACUCACAGCCGCCACCGCGUCGGUCAAAAACCGUUUGGCCCUUCCGGUAUCAACAAACCAACAACAGGUGAAAUCAAUCAAUGUUCCCUAAAUACCUGUGGUCGUGCCACAGGACAGCGACACCCACUGACGCAAUUGAGUACUUCACCAGGU